Molecule: non-coding RNA, 1362 nt
Organism: Elaeis guineensis (African oil palm)
Lineage: Eukaryota; Viridiplantae; Streptophyta; Magnoliopsida; Arecales; Arecaceae
Source: RefSeq, a predicted model, not a curated record
CCGUGCAUAUGCUCCGGGAUUUGCCCUGGUUCACUUGCACCUCCCCUCCCUUGCCGGUCUCGGCGCUCCUCCGCACCCUCUUCCUGGCCAACAAUAGCUUCUCUUUUCUUCUCCGGUCUCAACUCCCUCGCCAACGUCUACCUCGACACCAACCCCUUGUCCGCCCGAACCAUCCCUCCGCGACGCCUCCGGCCUCGUCGCCUUCUCCGCUAACGACGUCAAUCUCACUGACACCAUCCCCAAACUUCCACGGCGUCAACUUCCCCAAUUUUUUCCCAUCCGAACCUCUCCGGCAUCAAUCUCCCAGGCCCGAUCCCCUCGACCUUCGCCGUCUGGCUCAAUAACCGGAAGGGAAGCGGCUUCUCGGGCCGCAUCGAGAACCUCUAUGAUUUGGACCUCCGGAACAACAAGCUCACGGGCCUCAUGCCGAGCUCGCUGACUUCGCUCGAAUCACUUCAAAGCAAGACGGCGAUGCCCAUGUUCGCCAAUACAGUAACAGAGGGCAUCGACCGUGAUCCAAGUGCUUUAACUAUCCUAUGCAACUGGCCAACAAUUGGAGAGGGAAUGAUCCAUGAAAUGGUUUCACGGGCAUUACGUGCGAUCCCAGUGGUAAUAUCACCGUUUUCGCGUUGUAGAAAUUUGGUUUCAAUGGUGCGGUCUCGCCCGACUUCCAGUUGCUGCCUGCCUAAGCUGCAGAAGUUGCUAUACUCUGGUAACAAUCUCACCUGCACUAUUCUAUUAAUCUUACCCAUUUGAAGCAGGUUCCUCCAAGUUUUGGUCAGAAAUUUCGGUCCUCCCUCCUUCGCUGCUGCUUGGAAGAAAAUGAGAGGCUUUUGGUCUAUGAGCACGAGGUGUAGAGCAUGUACAGUCAGGGAUAUGAAAUCCUUUAACAUUCCCCGUUUGGAGAAAAUAUGAGAGCUAAGGUUGCUGAUUUUGGAUUAAUUCGACUUGCACCGGAAGGGAACCGCUCUAUUGCACCAGAGUAUGCAGGGUUUCGAGUUCCAUCAGAUUAUAGGACAUACUUGCUGCGAGAAAGAGUACAUCACAAAUUGUAUCCUCUCCUGUGGCUGGGUGGUGUCAAUUUGCUUUCCUACGAGGGAUCAGCUCCAUGAGUAUCACUCCAAAGCUUAAAACAUCAGCUUUGGUAGUCACAUCAAAUAGUGAUCACUAAAUAUUCGUUCAUAGCCAAGUUACAUGCUGUUUAAGCCUCAAAAAUAAACCCGAUCAAAUAAAAGGAACCCACAAACUCAGGGAAAGCCAUAAAACUAGAAAGCUGCUUUUGCUGUAUCUGAUGAAUAUAAUAUUGUCACCAAGCAUCAGAAUUAGAAUGAGCAGGUCCUUUUUAUCAGGACUCUGCACUUC